UUCAUUAUCAAAAGCUGUCCAUAGAUGCGGAUUAACUACUCAAUAGCUGUCAAAAUCAUCCCCUUUAAUAUUACAUUUCGUAAAAUUUGUCUACUACUCACAAACCCACUAAAGAUUCCAUGGUUCCUAAACACAUAUGUAAACCGACACUAGAAUCAGUAACUUACAAAACCCAUAAGAGAUCAUGAACCAAAAAAGCAUCAACAACCCACAAAAGGUUUUCUUUUUUUUUUUUUCUUUGGGAAUGAGAUCUAUAGGGCUAAAGUAAAAGAGUAAAAUUUGUUUUAACUUCGUUUGAGAAAGUGGGGGUAUUUGAGGGUUUUUAGAUUUAUCAACUAGAUGCAACACAAUGGUCAUUUUCAACUCACCAUCCCUCUCUGAUUAUGAUGCUAUUGUGUAGGUAGUAAAAAAGAAAAAUAGAAAAAUCAAGAAAGAGAGAGAUAAUAAAGUUAGCAAAAUCUCAGCCGCAAAUGGAUGUCUCACCAUUUAUGUACAGAGCAUUUAGAGAGAAGAACAAGAGUGGGAGAAGAAAAGAGGAGAGAGAGUGAGAGGAAGCAUGUGAUGUGUGCAAAGCGAAGUACCAAGUUGGGAGAUGGGGAGGGGUCAAACUGCCUUUCACCAGCUUCAACUUUUUUGGACGAUUCAUUCGUUAUUGAGGAAAAAUCAUGAUUUUAUUAUUUGUAAAGAAACUUUAUGAUAUUAUUAAUUAAGAAAAAGCAAUUUGAUAUGUAGUUAC
Brassica rapa (field mustard) is the source of this 736-nucleotide long non-coding RNA. RefSeq lists it as uncharacterized. The record is from RefSeq and is a predicted model, not a curated record. Lineage: Eukaryota; Viridiplantae; Streptophyta; Magnoliopsida; Brassicales; Brassicaceae.